Molecule: ribosomal RNA, 250 nt
Filed under: uncultured bacterium
Lineage: Bacteria
Description: partial 16S ribosomal RNA
Rfam family: Bacterial small subunit ribosomal RNA
Source: RNAcentral
UAACGCGUAGGUAACCUGCCUUGUAGCGGGGGGAUAACUAUUGGAAACGAUAGCUAAUACCGCAUAACAAUGGAUGACACAUGUCAUUUAUUUGAAAGGGGCAAUUGCUCCACUACAAGAUGGACCUGCGUUGUAUUAGCUAGUAGGUGAGGUAAUGGCUCACCUAGGCGACGAUACAUAGCCGACCUGAGAGGGUGAUUGGCCACACUGGGACUGAGACACGGCCCAGACUCCUACGGGAGGCAGCAUG